Molecule: long non-coding RNA, 2976 nt
Organism: Salvator merianae (Argentine black and white tegu)
Lineage: Eukaryota; Metazoa; Chordata; Lepidosauria; Squamata; Teiidae
Source: Ensembl
GCCAUGGCGACCGCAUCAUCGCAGCCGCACAAGCAGCCUGGCUGGCNGGCGGGCGGCGUCGGACUGGAGCGGUGCGAUGGCGGCGGCCGGAGGGCGCGUAGGCUCCUCGGUGUCGGCUCGGGGACUGGCCCGCUCGGUGGCCCACAGGCUGAAGUAUUAUAUUGACGUGCAAAGAAAAGAAGAGUCCUUUGAUUCGUCCGUGGUGCCCCAUGAUGUGGCUGAAAGAUUGAACCUGCAUUGCACAUAUUUGACUGAGCAGAAGAAAAGUGACAAGUUGGAGCAUAAUUUCGCUGAAAUUAAAUUGGAAGCAUAUCUACGAGCCUAUGUGGGUGAUGCCAAAGAAUGUAACAGAAAAGCCCAGGAAAGUCGAGAACAGCAAAAGGAUGUGGAAAAUCUUAUUAAAAAGAUGGCACGAAAUUAUGUACCUGACAGAAUGAAUAAGGGCAAAGCAAAAAGCNCAAAAAGGCAAAAGAAGACACAGAAUGCCUCCAAUCUGCACAAAACUGCAACCCCAAGUAUGUCACCAGAAGAAGUACAGAGGCUUGUUUCAUCGGCUUCCAAACUGAUAGUGGCUGCUACUUCUGAAAGGCCUUCAGAAGACGGUGUUUCUUCUCCAGGGAAAAAAGAGAUGGAAAACAAUUGCAGUUCAGAAAAUGCCUGCAAGCAAUGUCGGCCCUUCGUAUAUUCUCAGAAGGAUGAAACAAAAAGGAUCCAACAAAACCAACAAAGAAAACAUUUGCAAGAUAUGAAGAGAUCUAGAACUCCAAAUAUUUCUAGUAACUUGGAAAAAUCCAAGAGUAUGUCUUUGAAAACUAAACCAAAGAGCAAAACUUCAGUUAUUGUAAGCCCUAUAGUUCCAAGUUUGCAAACUGCACAGGAUAAAGCAUUUCAGAAAGGCAUCCUGAAAACUAGAGCCUCUCUAUCCUGCAGUUCUACAACAGGACCUGGAUUCCAAGAUGUACAAGCCAACCCUAAACGGAAGAACAUUUCUCCUGCCCAGCAAAGUAUAGAGAAUUCUGCUGUCAUUUCCCAGCAGCUGUUUAAAACCAAAACGCGAGAGGCAUCUCAUAGACUAACUGAAGUGUUUCCAGACAGUAAGAGCUGCUUGUCUAAGAGGUUUUCCAGUGCACACCAAAUCCUGAGUGUGAAUGAUAAUUGCGAAGAACAAGGAUAUAUCUCAGAACUCUCAGCACAAUCUGCAGGUGAAGUGAUGGGUACCCACAGGUUGGCUGGAAAAAAGGCUCGGAAGCAGUAUCAUUCCACAAGGAUUCCUGGUUUGCUUUUUCAAGGUCAGGAGAACCAAAGAGAUGGCCUGUGUGGCUGGGAGGGUAAACUUGUGGAAAAUGCUGGAAAACAUUGGCCUCAGGGGGAAGGGCAAGAAGGCUGUGAUGUAGAGUCGAGAAAACCCCCCAUCUGCCAUGGGAUCCGUUGUGCAGCAGUUCAUCAGGGGAAUAGUCUUGGCACCGCAGUGUGUGAACAGCAUACACCGACAACUUCCAACCCGCGUGAUUGGAGAGGAACUGAAGAUGCAAGUCCGACAACUGACAAUAUUAACGCAUCCUCUGGGGUGGCAGAGGGUCAGGACCACAAGGAGAUCCCUGUGCCCAAGAAUGGCUCCUCUUUUCUGCAUCAGGUGUGCCAGGAAAUGGAGAGAGGGGCAUCAAGGAGUUUGGUCUCAGGCAGCUCUGCAACUUCAGGGGGAGACAGAGGAAGCCAAAGGACACCUCUGUUUGUGGACCAGCUGCUCUGCAGGGCACCAGGAGCUGAGGAUCUUGCAGGCGGCACGCAGGAGCAGGCCUUGGCUUCCAGAGAUACCUGCGAUGGACAGGUGUCGGGGGCCACAGCGGUGAUGCCUGGAUACUCAGCGUUGCCGAGGAACUGUGCUUGUGAAGCCUCCAAAGAACAGAAUUCAGAGUCCUCUGCUUUCAUGACGGCUCUUGCAGAAGGAGUGGAAAAGGAGCAGUUGGAAGAGGAGUUUACCAUUUCUUCUGCCUCUAGCAGCUUCAGUGCCAGAUCACUAAUUAGCCUACACAAGCAGAUGAGAGGAAAUGAUGAGGAGCAAAGCAGUACUGACUCCUGCCUGGAACCUCUUGCUCAUGGAGUUGUGAUGCCAGACGAGAACUCAGUGGAGCAACACUGUCAACACCGUGAAAAGCCAAGUUGUCAUGCUGAGAAGAGGCCAGACACGCAUCACGAGACAGACGGCAUCUGCACUGGUCAGACUGUUUAUUUUUCCCAUUUCCCCAAACUGUUUUAGCUCAACUUUCCAAACCGGAAUGUUUGAUACAGUGUUUGUUGUGUUUGUGGCAGUUGAAUCAACAGUAUUAAGAGUUGGAAAAAUGCCUUCUAUAAAAUUUCAGUGAUGUCUGCCCAGUGCCAGAAGUUUAGGCUGAAAUCAGUUAUUAACAGGACAUCUAUUUCCAUUAUAGCAACUUUGGUUAUUCUGACUAUGCUGCUGAAGGGCAGAAGGAGACGCACCCUUUAAGCAAAGUGUGGUUUUAAUGCAUAGAAUCCUAUGAGAUCUGUGGAGCUGAAUUCGAAGGUUUCUAAUGCUCUCUGCCAUAGAGGGACUUCUGAGAGUGUUGUAAGGAGAGCCCUGCUGAAUCCAAGUAGAGGCCCAUCCAAUUUUGCAUCUUGUUUCUAGGAAAGCUGGAAAGUUUCAAGUUAAAAAUGGGCNAUGGUUUCAGCACCAGCGGCGGCCACCGGCUUUAAGCCCAGGUGUUCACGCCCCGUGCAAAGCGCACCAUGGCUGUUCGUGGGGCCUCCGNGCCUCCGUACCACUGUUCAACACUCUGAAUGCCAUUUUAAGACUGGUUUUUUUCCCCCUGGCUAAUGGACAAUUGGAAUUAAAAAAUACAUCCCUGCCACUUUCUUUUGGGGUUGCUGGUAGAUAGUAGCCACCGUGCCUUACUACUUAAAAGAAGUGGUGACAGAAGUCAGCCUAGAUAACUUUAAGAAUGGAUUGGACAGAUUCAU